Molecule: non-coding RNA, 738 nt
Organism: Myxocyprinus asiaticus (Chinese sucker)
Lineage: Eukaryota; Metazoa; Chordata; Actinopteri; Cypriniformes; Catostomidae
Source: the annotation of a RefSeq genome assembly
AGCCUGUUUCCUCUUUUUAUGCCCAGAAUCAACGGUUUCACUAUUCAUCGGGUGGAGCUUAGAAAAAGAGUUCAGAAUGAGUUCAGAAACAGUUCUCAGCUCUUAUGUUGCUCUAUAUGUCAAUGUGUGUAUGAUCUCCUCCAGUCAUAAUGAUGUUAUUUUACCUUACAGUAUCUGCAAUUCUUUCAGAAAGUGUUUUUGCAAAUCCAAUAACAUCAAUCUCUACUGAAAAGCAUGUUUUAGAAGGAGAAAAAGUUACUCUUUCCUGCAGCUACAGUGAAAGUAAUAUAAGGAGUCUUCAGUGGUACAGACAGUAUUCCAACACUGCCCCAGAAUUUCUCCUAAUGACUUUUGAGAAUGCGGAUCCAGCACAGAAGGACCGACUUGCUGCUGAAGCUCAUAAGGACAAGAAACAACUUAACCUGGAGAUCUCUAAAACUGAAGUGGCAGAUACUGCAAUAUACUACUGUGCCCUGGUGCCCACAGUAACAGGAAACCCUUCUACACUGUACAAAAACUUGACACUCUUUACAUUAGAAAAAUAUCUGAACAAGACCUUCUCUCCUGUAACCUUUCUAAAGGUUUGAUUUGUGUUGUAAUAGUAUAUCAAUGGUAUGUGUAAUAGUAUCAGUCACAAUUUGAACUGUUGUGGCUCAAAAGCAGUACUGAAUUAACCUAUCUGUAAGCAAGAAUCCUGUAAGCGUCCUUAGAUUUGCAGGAUUUUUUAAAAGAACGCUU